GCGACAGGCUUAACACAUGCAAGUCCCUUUGCAGCACAGGUAGCAAUACCGGGUGGCGACCGGCGCACGGGUGAGUAACGCGUAUGCAACUUGCCUAUCAGAGGGGGAUAACCCGGCGAAAGUCGGACUAAUACCGCAUGAAGCAGGGAUCCCGCAUGGGAAUAUUUGCUAAAGAUUCAUCGCUGAUAGAUAGGCAUGCGUUCCAUUAGGCAGUUGGCGGGGUAACGGCCCACCAAACCGACGAUGGAUAGGGGUUCUGAGAGGAAGGUCCCCCACAUUGGUACUGAGACACGGACCAAACUCCUACGGGAGGCAGCAGUGAGGAAUAUUGGUCAAUGGCCGAGAGGCUGAACCAGCCAAGUCGCGUGAGGGAUGAAGGUUCUAUGGAUCGUAAACCUCUUUUAUAAGGGAAUAAGGUGCGGGACGUGUCCCGUUUUGUAUGUACCUUAUGAAUAAGGAUCGGCUAACUCCGUGCCAGCAGCCGCGGUAAUACGGAGGAUCCGAGCGUUAUCCGGAUUUAUUGGGUUUAAAGGGUGCGUAGGCGGCCUUUUAAGUCAGCGGUGAAAGUCUGUGGCUCAACCAUAGAAUUGCCGUUGAAACUGGGGGGCUUGAGUAUGUUUGAGGCAGGCGGAAUGCGUGGUGUAGCGGUGAAAUGCAUAGAUAUCACGCAGAACCCCGAUUGCGAAGGCAGCCUGCCAAGCCAUUACUGACGCUGAUGCACGAAAGCGUGGGGAUCAAACAGGAUUAGAUACCCUGGUAGUCCACGCAGUAAACGAUGAUCACUAGCUGUUUGCGAUACACUGUAAGCGGCACAGCGAAAGCGUUAAGUGAUCCACCUGGGGAGUACGCCGGCAACGGUGAAACUCAAAGGAAUUGACGGGGGCCCGCACAAGCGGAGGAACAUGUGGUUUAAUUCGAUGAUACGCGAGGAACCUUACCCGGGUUUGAACGCAUUCGGACCGAGGUGGAAACACCUUUUCUAGCAAUAGCCGUUUGCGAGGUGCUGCAUGGUUGUCGUCAGCUCGUGCCGUGAGGUGUCGGCUUAAGUGCCAUAACGAGCGCAACCCUUGCCACUAGUUACUAACAGGUUAGGCUGAGGACUCUGGUGGGACUGCCAGCGUAAGCUGCGAGGAAGGCGGGGAUGACGUCAAAUCAGCACGGCCCUUACAUCCGGGGCGACACACGUGUUACAAUGGCGUGGACAAAGGGAAGCCACCUGGCGACAGGGAGCGAAUCCCCAAACCACGUCUCAGUUCGGAUCGGAGUCUGCAACCCGACUCCGUGAAGCUGGAUUCGCUAGUAAUCGCGCAUCAGCCAUGGCGCGGUGAAUACGUUCCCGGGCCUUGUACACACCGCCCGUCAAGCCAGGGGAGCCGGGGGUACCAGGAGUCCGUAACCGAAAGGAUCGGCCUAGGGUAAAACUG
RNAcentral lists this ribosomal RNA (1424 nucleotides) under uncultured organism. RNAcentral's name for it is "16S ribosomal RNA". It matches the Rfam family "Bacterial small subunit ribosomal RNA". The record is from RNAcentral.